Molecule: ribosomal RNA, 3036 nt
Filed under: Salmonella enterica
Lineage: Bacteria; Pseudomonadati; Pseudomonadota; Gammaproteobacteria; Enterobacterales; Enterobacteriaceae
Description: bacterial LSU rRNA
Rfam family: Bacterial large subunit ribosomal RNA
Source: RNAcentral
UUAAGCGACCAAGCGUACACGGUGGAUGCCCUGGCAGUCAGAGGCGAUGAAGGACGUGCUAAUCUGCGAUAAGCGCCGGUAAGGUGAUAUGAACCGUUAUAACCGGCGAUUUCCGAAUGGGGAAACCCAGUGUGAUUUGUCACACUAUCAUUACGUGAAUACAUAGCGUAAUGAAGCGAACCGGGGGAACUGAAACAUCUAAGUACCCCGAGGAAAAGAAAUCAACCGAGAUUCCCCCAGUAGCGGCGAGCGAACGGGGAGGAGCCCAGAGUCUGAAUCAGCAUAUGUGUUAGUGGAAGCGUCUGGAAAGGCGCGCGAUACAGGGUGACAGCCCCGUACACAAAAGCGCAUAUGCUGUGAGCUCGAUGAGUAGGGCGGGACACGUGGUAUCCUGUCUGAAUAUGGGGGGACCAUCCUCCAAGGCUAAAUACUCCUGACUGACCGAUAGUGAACCAGUACCGUGAGGGAAAGGCGAAAAGAACCCCGGCGAGGGGAGUGAAACAGAACCUGAAACCGUGUACGUACAAGCAGUGGGAGCCCCACCACCAAAGCGUUUGCUGUAGCGCGUUGACGGAGCGAAGCGACGUCAAACCGAAAAAAACAGCAGCGAUGAACGCAGGGCUUUUUGCACGAAGUGCAAAGGCAGACGCGUUCGCGAAGCGAAAAGCGAAUGUUUUGGGGUGGGGUGACUGCGUACCUUUUGUAUAAUGGGUCAGCGACUUAUAUUCUGUAGCAAGGUUAACCGCAUAGGGGAGCCGAAGGGAAACCGAGUCUUAAUUGGGCGUUAAGUUGCAGGGUAUAGACCCGAAACCCGGUGAUCUAGCCAUGGGCAGGUUGAAGGUUGGGUAACACUAACUGGAGGACCGAACCGACUAAUGUUGAAAAAUUAGCGGAUGACCUGUGGCUGGGGGUGAAAGGCCAAUCAAACCGGGAGAUAGCUGGUUCUCCCCGAAAGCUAUUUAGGUAGCGCCUCGUGAAUUCAUCUCCGGGGGUAGAGCACUGUUUCGGCCAGGGGGCCAUCCCGGCUUACCAAUCCGAUGCAAACUGCGAAUACCGGAGAAUGUUAUCACGGGAGACACACGGCGGGUGCUAACGUCCGUCGUGAAGAGGGAAACAACCCAGACCGCCAGCUAAGGUCCCAAAGUCAUGGUUAAGUGGGAAACGAUGUGGGAAGGCCCAGACAGCCAGGAUGUUGGCUUAGAAGCAGCCAUCAUUUAAAGAAAGCGUAAUAGCUCACUGGUCGAGUCGGCCUGCGCGGAAGAUGUAACGGGGCUAAACCAUGCACCGAAGCUGCGGCAGCGACACUGUGUGUUGUUGGGUAGGGGAGCGUUCUGUAAGCCGUAGAAGGUGUCCUGUGAGGGGUGCUGGAGGUAUCAGAAGUGCGAAUGCUGACAUAAGUAACGAUAAAGCGGGUGAAAAGCCCGCUCGCCGGAAGACCAAGGGUUCCUGUCCAACGUUAAUCGGGGCAGGGUGAGUCGACCCCUAAGGCGAGGCCGAAAGGCGUAGUCGAUGGGAAACGGGUUAAUAUUCCCGUACUUGGUGUUACUGCGAAGGGGGGACGGAGAAGGCUAUGUUGGCCGGGCGACGGUUGUCCCGGUUUAAGCGUGUAGGCUGACUUUCCAGGCAAAUCCGGAGAGUCAAGGCUGAGGCGUGACGACGAGGCACCACGGUGCUGAAGCAACAAAUGCCCUGCUUCCAGGAAAAGCCUCUAAGCAUCAGGUAACAUCAAAUCGUACCCCAAACCGACACAGGUGGUCAGGUAGAGAAUACCAAGGCGCUUGAGAGAACUCGGGUGAAGGAACUAGGCAAAAUGGUGCCGUAACUUCGGGAGAAGGCACGCUGACAUGUAGGUGAAGCGGUUUACCCGUGGAGCUGAAGUCAGUCGAAGAUACCAGCUGGCUGCAACUGUUUAUUAAAAACACAGCACUGUGCAAACACGAAAGUGGACGUAUACGGUGUGACGCCUGCCCGGUGCCGGAAGGUUAAUUGAUGGGGUCAGCGCAAGCGAAGCUCCUGAUCGAAGCCCCGGUAAACGGCGGCCGUAACUAUAACGGUCCUAAGGUAGCGAAAUUCCUUGUCGGGUAAGUUCCGACCUGCACGAAUGGCGUAAUGAUGGCCAGGCUGUCUCCACCCGAGACUCAGUGAAAUUGAACUCGCUGUGAAGAUGCAGUGUACCCGCGGCAAGACGGAAAGACCCCGUGAACCUUUACUAUAGCUUGACACUGAACAUUGAGCCUUGAUGUGUAGGAUAGGUGGGAGGCUUUGAAGCGUGGACGCCAGUCUGCGUGGAGCCAACCUUGAAAUACCACCCUUUAAUGUUUGAUGUUCUAACGUUGACCCGUUACCCGGGUUGCGGACAGUGUCUGGUGGGUAGUUUGACUGGGGCGGUCUCCUCCUAAAGAGUAACGGAGGAGCACGAAGGUUGGCUAAUCCUGGUCGGACAUCAGGAGGUUAGUGCAAUGGCAUAAGCCAGCUUGACUGCGAGCGUGACGGCGCGAGCAGGUGCGAAAGCAGGUCAUAGUGAUCCGGUGGUUCUGAAUGGAAGGGCCAUCGCUCAACGGAUAAAAGGUACUCCGGGGAUAACAGGCUGAUACCGCCCAAGAGUUCAUAUCGACGGCGGUGUUUGGCACCUCGAUGUCGGCUCAUCACAUCCUGGGGCUGAAGUAGGUCCCAAGGGUAUGGCUGUUCGCCAUUUAAAGUGGUACGCGAGCUGGGUUUAGAACGUCGUGAGACAGUUCGGUCCCUAUCUGCCGUGGGCGCUGGAAGACUGAGGGGGGCUGCUCCUAGUACGAGAGGACCGGAGUGGACGCAUCACUGGUGUUCGGGUUGUCAUGCCAAUGGCACUGCCCGGUAGCUAAAUGCGGAAGAGAUAAGUGCUGAAAGCAUCUAAGCACGAAACUUGCCCCGAGAUGAGUCUUCCCUGAGACUAUAAGUCUCCUGAAGGAACGUUAAAGACGAUGACGUUGAUAGGCCGGGUGUGUAAGCGCAGCGAUGCGUUGAGCUAACCGGUACUAAUGAACCGUGAGGCUUAACCUU